UACGGAGGGUGCAAGCGUUAUCCGGAUUCACUGGGUUUAAAGGGUGCGUAGGCGGGUAUAUAAGUCAGUGGUGAAAGCUCCGAGCUUAACUUGGAAACUGCCAUUGAUACUGUAUAUCUUGAAUGUCGUUGAGGUUAGCGGAAUGUUGCAUGUAGCGGUGAGAUGCUUAGAUAUGUUACAGAACACCAAUUGUGAAGACAGCUAACUAAGCGAUGAUUGACGCUGAGGCACGAAAGCGUGGGGAGCAAACAGG
RNAcentral lists this ribosomal RNA (253 nucleotides) under uncultured bacterium. RNAcentral describes it as "partial 16S ribosomal RNA". It matches the Rfam family "Bacterial small subunit ribosomal RNA", at positions 524 to 776 of the family's 1533-position model. The record is from RNAcentral.